RNAcentral lists this long non-coding RNA (476 nucleotides) under Elaeis guineensis (African oil palm). RNAcentral describes it as "long non-coding RNA (EGUI_LNC019327)". Lineage: Eukaryota; Viridiplantae; Streptophyta; Magnoliopsida; Arecales; Arecaceae. The record is from RNAcentral.
UCAUCCCUCGCGGCUGGGGUUUCGGAUCAAGCGUCUUCGACCCGUGGGAUCCUUUCGAAGCCUGCCCCUUCAUCUCCUCCCUCUCCUCUUUCCCUCGCCCUUCCGUCCACGGUGAGACCUCCGCCUUCGCCAACGCCUGCAUCGACUGGAAGGAGACCCCGGAGGCCCAUGUCUUCAAGGCCGACCUCCCCGGCCUGAAGAAGGAGGAGGUGAAGGUUGAGGUGGAGGAGGGCAACGUCCUCCAGAUCAGCGGCGAGCGGAGACGGGAGCAGGAAGAGAAGACCGACAUCUGGCACCGCAUGGAGAGGAGCAUCGGCAAGUUUAUGAGGCGGUUCCGGCUGCCGGAGAACGCGAAGAUGGACCAGGUGAAGGCGACCAUGGAGAACGGAGUGCUCACCGUGACCGUGCCCAAGGAGGAGCUCAAGAAGCUGGAGGUGAAAUCCAUCGAGAUAUCUGGCUGAGGUUCUUUUGAGGAG